Non-coding RNA from Callithrix jacchus (white-tufted-ear marmoset), 1265 nucleotides. The record is from RefSeq and is a predicted model, not a curated record. NCBI's taxonomy places the organism in Eukaryota, Metazoa, Chordata, Mammalia, Primates, Cebidae.
ACCGAGGAGCAGGAGCGAGAGACAAAGGUCCUGCCAAGGGCCGGAAGCCACGCCCUCCUUUCCAACUGCGCGCCUGAUUGGACGGUUCCCACGCGGCGCCACUGACUGGAUAAAGCCCCAGACCCACCUCACCCCCACCCUCCCAGCAUAACUGCAUUUUAGGGACAGGAAAACCGGCUCACGUAGGCGGGGUCACAGGCCCAAGGAAUUCCACAUAAUUGAGAAGUGAGCUGAGGCUUGAAAUGCACUUGCUCCUUACCUUACCUGGAUCGGCUUCAAUAAUGCAUCUUAGUAACUACUUAAAGAAUGCUGCCAUCUCCAUGAAUAAUGCCCAUGUUAGCCAGCUGGAAAAUAAGAUACCAUGAAGAGAAGAAGAAAGGUGGCCCCGUUUUUUGUUUUGUUUUGUUGAGAUGGAGUUUCACUGUUACCCAGGCUGGAGUGCAAUGGUACGAUCUCAGCUCACCACAACCUCUGCCACGUGGAUUCAAGCAAUUCUCCUGCCUCAGCCUCCCGAGUAGCUGGGACUACAGUAGAGACAGAGUUUCACCAUGUUGGCCAGCUCGUCUCCCACUCCUGACCUGAAUCCACCUGCCUCAGCCGUGCAAACUGGUAGGAUCACAGGCGUGAGCCACCACACCCAGGCUGGAGUGCAAUGGCGUGAUCUCAGCUCAUCAAAACUUCCAUGUCCUGGAUUCAAGCUAUUCUGCAUCAGCCUCUCAAGUAACUGAAGUUAUAGACACGUGCCAUCACGCCCAGCAAAGUUCCCAGGCAUCUCAGGACUCCCGUUUCUCCGGCUAACCAGCUGCAAGGUCACAGGGCAAGAUAACACCCGAAGAAUGUACAACGCAUUUAUCAAAAAGCUAUUUUUUAAAUGUAACGCACAUCACAAGACAUGUUGCAAAUUAAUUGUUCUUUGUUCUCACUUCUGUAAACGUGUUAGCUGCUAUGUAAUCCUGGAUGUAUAAAAGUACCCCAUUCUCUUCUUUCAGGGCUCACACUUAGAAUGCUAAUCCUCUGAGCUGGUGGCCACCUUAAUAAAAUCCUGUUUCACCCAUUAGUCUCUCCAGUCUCUUGGAUAUUCUGUAAAAACCAUGGGCAGAAUUUUCAAUUUGACUCAAGGUGAAAUGAGACACUAAAGAGAAUUGUUAUAACUUACAGGAGUAACUAAAAUUAUCUAAUUAAAUAUUUUUUAACACAGAAAUAUUAUCUAAUAUAUUCUCUAUGAGAAAAAAAAGUGACAUAAGACUUACAUCAGUGAAUAUAUG